AGCUCGACACCUACAGGAGGCAGCAGUGAGGAAUAUUGGUCAAUGGGCGCAGGCCUGAACCAGCCAAGUAGCGUGAAGGAUGACUGCCCUAUGGGUUGUAAACUUCUUUUAUAUGGGAAUAAAGUUUUCCACGUGUGGAAUUUUGUAUGUACCAUAUGAAUAAGGAUCGGCUAACUCCGUGCCAGCAGCUGCGGUAAUCUGAGCGGGCUGGCAAGGC
RNAcentral lists this ribosomal RNA (217 nucleotides) under uncultured bacterium. RNAcentral describes it as "partial 16S ribosomal RNA". It matches the Rfam family "Bacterial small subunit ribosomal RNA", at positions 329 to 539 of the family's 1533-position model. The record is from RNAcentral.